Lotus japonicus is the source of this 842-nucleotide long non-coding RNA. RefSeq lists it as uncharacterized. The transcript has 2 exons. NCBI's taxonomy places the organism in Eukaryota, Viridiplantae, Streptophyta, Magnoliopsida, Fabales, Fabaceae. The record is from RefSeq and is a predicted model, not a curated record.
UCUCCAAGUGAUUUCGCGUCAAUCCGACCUCUGUAGCUUAAGAUAUUUGCGUUUUAGUGACUGUCGUUAAGGCUGUACAGUACCAGCGAGUAAAUUAGUUUGUUUCCUUCUAAUUCCGAAUUGGAUUAUGAAAUUACUUAAGAGGGCUUAAGUUUUUAAUUAGAUUCAGGUCUGAUUAAGUUAUUGGGUCAAGGGUUUGACUUGGAGCGGGCUCAAGAGAAAAGAAAAGAAACCCAAACCCAUGAUGAGGGGGAGCCCGCGGUUGUAUUAGGGUUCUGAAGGGGGGAAAAAUUUCUUUUCCUUUCAGUUCUGAAACAGAAACCCUUGCACUCCUUACGUAAAGAAAACAGAAGAGAAAAGAGUGAGAGAACCACCCCUUGAACCCUUAGCCGCCGCCGACCAAACCACCACCGCAACCCGUGACGCCGCGCGAGUGAGAGAGCCUUGCGAGAGGGAGAGGAUUCGCGUGGAGGAGGAGAAGAGGGACGUGGACAGCAAGCAACUGAGUUCUGAACCUACAUCUUUUCUCUUUUUCAGACCAAGAACCCAAGAUGGUCGUGAAGAUAAUGGCGAUGACUCAUUCUUGGGAGUUGAUGCUACGUGACGUGCCAAUACUGGAGGACGACUACACUUUAGAGGAAGAGGAAGAGGCUAAGGAAUAGGGUUUGGGUUGAGAGUCUUUUGUUUUCUGUUGGGGUUGAGAGUUUCCGAAGUGUUGGUAUCGAACAAUUUUAUUGCUUAAAUUCGAAUGAACAAGUUUUGAUGUAAUCUUUAUUUUCAUUCAGGCCUUUGUUUCGUACUCUUUACAGUUGGUUAUUUAAAAAGUUUUACGAAGUUGGUUA